CCAAUAGCGUAUAUUAAAGUUGUUGCAGUUAAAAAGCUCGUAGUUGAAUUUCGGGGUCAGUAGGCUGGUCGUGCCUACGGUAUGUACUGGUCUCACUGAUUCUUCCCUCCUGAUGAACCGUAAUGCCAUUAAUUUGGUGUUGCAGGGAAUCAGGACUGUCACUUUGAAAAAAUUAGAGUGUUUAUAGCAGGCUAACGCUUGAAUACAUUAGUAUGGAAUAAUGAAAUAGGACGUUCGAUCCUAUUUUGUUGGUUUCUAGGAUCGACGUAAUGAUUAAUAGGGAUAGUUGGGGGCAUUAGUAUUCAAUUGUCAGAGGUGAAAUUCUUGGAUUUAUUGAAGACUAACUACUGCGAAAGCAUUUGCCAAGGAUGUUUUCAUUAAUCAAGAACGAAAGUUAGGGGAUCGAAGACGAUCAGAUACCGUCGUAGUCUUAACCAUAAACUAUGCCGACUAGGGAUCGGAUGAUGUUAAUUUUUUAAUGACUCGUUCGGCGCCUUACG
This 500-nucleotide ribosomal RNA is filed under the name uncultured Glomeromycotina. RNAcentral describes it as "partial small subunit ribosomal RNA". It matches the Rfam family "Eukaryotic small subunit ribosomal RNA", at positions 591 to 1092 of the family's 1831-position model. Lineage: Eukaryota; Fungi; Glomeromycota. The record is from RNAcentral.